UACGUAGGGCGCAAGCGUUGUCCGGAAUUAUUGGGCGUAAAGAGCUCGUAGGCGGCUUGUCACGUCGGUUGUGAAAAGCCCGGGGCUUAACCCCGGGUCUGCAGUCGAUACGGGCAGGCUAGAGUGUGGUAGGGGAGAUCGGAAUUCCUGGUGUAGCGGUGAAAUGCGCAGAUAUCAGGAGGAACACCGGUGGCGAAGGCGGAUCUCUGGGCCAUUACUGACGCUGAGGAGCGAAAGCGUGGGGAGCGAACAGG
RNAcentral lists this ribosomal RNA (254 nucleotides) under uncultured bacterium. RNAcentral describes it as "partial 16S ribosomal RNA". It matches the Rfam family "Bacterial small subunit ribosomal RNA", at positions 524 to 776 of the family's 1533-position model. The record is from RNAcentral.